Molecule: ribosomal RNA, 468 nt
Filed under: uncultured bacterium
Lineage: Bacteria
Description: partial 16S ribosomal RNA
Rfam family: Bacterial small subunit ribosomal RNA
Source: RNAcentral
GACGAACGCUGGCGGCGUGCUUAACACAUGCAAGUCGAACGGAAAGGCCCUGCUUUUGUGGGGUGCUCGAGUGGCGAACGGGUGAGUAACACGUGAGUAACCUGCCCUUGACUUUGGGAUAACUUCAGGAAACUGGGGCUAAUACCGGAUAGGAGCUCCUGCUGCAUGGUGGGGGUUGGAAAGUUUCGGCGGUUGGGGAUGGACUCGCGGCUUAUCAGCUUGUUGGUGGGGUAGUGGCUUAACGAGGCUUUGACGGGUAGCCGGCCUGAGAGGGUGACCGGCCACAUUGGGACUGAGAUACGGCCCAGACUCCUACGGGAGGCAGCAGUGGGGAAUAUUGCACAAUGGGCGGAAGCCUGAUGCAGCAACGCCGCGUGCGGGGUGACGGCCUUCGGGUUGUAAACCGCUUUCGCCUGUGACGAAGCGUGAGUGACGGUAAUGGGUAAAGAAGCACCGGCUAACUACGUG